RNAcentral lists this long non-coding RNA (1041 nucleotides) under Olea europaea subsp. europaea. Lineage: Eukaryota; Viridiplantae; Streptophyta; Magnoliopsida; Lamiales; Oleaceae. The record is from RNAcentral.
CUCAGGUACAAGCUGUUCUCAGUUUGCUGACAAAGUCAAAGAAUUUAAAGGGAGAAAAAAACUUUUCCGAUCUCCUCAAACUUCUAUUAAUAGAAAGCCUUUUGUCACUGAAAAAGUACAGACACAAACAUACACACGAGAUUAUAGCACUUAAUAGAGGCAGAAAAGUUAAGAGAUAUGAAGCAUUUCAGCCAUCCUCAUGAUAUGCAAGUCAUAGAAAUUCCAAGCCAAACAAAAAAGCGCACAUGUUUCGCUUGUAAACUUCCUUUGAUUGGUUCUUGUUACACCUGUUCACGUUGCAAGUUUUACCUUCAUAAAUUCUGUUUUGAGUUGCCACAGUCUGCUCAAUUUAAAUCCCACCCUCAACACACUCUUGCCCUCCUCUAUCCUCUAUAUAUCCAAGGGGGAUGUGAAGCCUGUGGUGAAUCCUGCAAUGGAUUCACCUACAAUUGUUCAUUGUGUAAUUUCAAUUUUCAUGCCAAUUGUGCUAGUUUACUUGAAACUGAGCCCGAAAAUGAUGACGAGAGAUAUAUCACAAUUUUCUUGAGGCAUAAAGUAUCAGAACAGAAAAGUUCGAAAGCUGAACUUGGCUGGAUGAAAGCUCAGAAUCAGCAAUACGAGGAAGAACGAGCACGCAUAAGACGGAUGGAGAUGGAAUCAGAUUUGCAACGCAGAAUGCAAAACAUGUAUAAUCAACAGUUGAAGAGCAUGUCAGAUUCUAUCAAUUCCAUGGGACAAAUUGGAACAUCAAAUUAUACCUACAGAUAUUAUUGAAGAUUUAUCAACAUUAUUCUUACUUCUCGCUUUCUCAUUGGACCCCUUACGUUCUUUCCCUGUUGUUUCCAAUGUUUCUGUGUAUAAUUAGUCGAAUGUUUGGAUUUCUGAAGUUUGAAAUUUACCAGUUAUUUGUAUCACUUUUGAAUAUGUCUACAAUGUAUCUUCAUUUCAAAUAAGUAAUUGUAUGCUGUUUGCUAUGUAUCAUUCAUUGUAUCACCAAUAAAUGUUGUGUAUCUUGGAUUUUCACUUCUUCCAUAGCUUCUC